This 433-nucleotide ribosomal RNA is filed under the name uncultured bacterium. RNAcentral describes it as "partial 16S ribosomal RNA". It matches the Rfam family "Bacterial small subunit ribosomal RNA", at positions 29 to 507 of the family's 1533-position model. The record is from RNAcentral.
AACGAACGCUGGCGGCAUGCCUAACACAUGCAAGUCGAACGAGACCUUCGGGUCUAGUGGCGCACGGGUGCGUAACGCGUGGGAGCCUGCCUUUAGGUUCGGAAUAACUCAGAGAAAUUUGAGCUAAUACCGGAUGAUGUCUUCGGACCAAAGAUUUAUCGCCUUUAGAUGGGCCCGCGUUGGAUUAGCUAGUUGGUGGGGUAAAGGCCUACCAAGGCGACGAUCCAUAGCUGGUCUGAGAGGAUGAUCAGCCACACUGGGACUGAGACACGGCCCAGACUCCUACGGGAGGCAGCAGUGGGGAAUAUUGGACAAUGGGCGAAAGCCUGAUCCAGCAAUGCCGCGUGAGUGAUGAAGGCCUUAGGGUUGUAAAGCUCUUUUACCCGAGAUGAUAAUGACAGUAUCGGGAGAAUAAGCGCUGGCUAACUCCGUG